Molecule: ribosomal RNA, 614 nt
Filed under: Lactiplantibacillus plantarum
Lineage: Bacteria; Bacillati; Bacillota; Bacilli; Lactobacillales; Lactobacillaceae
Description: bacterial SSU rRNA
Rfam family: Bacterial small subunit ribosomal RNA
Source: RNAcentral
CAUGCAAGUCGAACGCUUCUUUUUCCACCGGAGCUUGCUCCACCGGAAAAAGAGGAGUGGCGAACGGGUGAGUAACACGUGGGUAACCUGCCCAUCAGAAGGGGAUAACACUUGGAAACAGGUGCUAAUACCGUAUAACAAUCAAAACCGCAUGGUUUUGAUUUGAAAGGCGCUUUCGGGUGUCGCUGAUGGAUGGACCCGCGGUGCAUUAGCUAGUUGGUGAGGUAACGGCUCACCAAGGCCACGAUGCAUAGCCGACCUGAGAGGGUGAUCGGCCACAUUGGGACUGAGACACGGCCCAAACUCCUACGGGAGGCAGCAGUAGGGAAUCUUCGGCAAUGGACGAAAGUCUGACCGAGCAACGCCGCGUGAGUGAAGAAGGUUUUCGGAUCGUAAAACUCUGUUGUUAGAGAAGAACAAGGAUGAGAGUAACUGUUCAUCCCUUGACGGUAUCUAACCAGAAAGCCACGGCUAACUACGUGCCAGCAGCCGCGGUAAUACGUAGGUGGCAAGCGUUGUCCGGAUUUAUUGGGCGUAAAGCGAGCGCAGGCGGUUUCUUAAGUCUGAUGUGAAAGCCCCCGGCUCAACCGGGGAGGGUCAUUGGAAACUGGGAG